AUUGAACGCUGGCGGCAGGCCUAACACAUGCAAGUCGAACGAGUGGCGGACGGGUGAGUAAUGUCUGGGAAACUGCCUGAUGGAGGGGGAUAACUACUGGAAACGGUAGCUAAUACCGCAUACCAUCGGAUGUGCCCAGAUGGGAUUAGCUAGUAGGUGGGGUAACGGCUCACCUAGGCGACGAUCCCUAGCUGGUCUGAGGGGAUGACAGGCCACACUGGAACUGAGACACGGUCCAGACUCCUACGGGAGGCAGCAGUGUGGAAUAUUGCACAAUGGGCGAAAGCCUGAAGCAGCUAUGCCGCGUGUAUGAAGAAGGCCUUCGGGUUGUAAAGUACUUUCGGCGGGGAGGCGUUACCCGCAGAAGAAGCACCGGCUAACUCCGUGCCAGCAGCCGCGGUAUAC
RNAcentral lists this ribosomal RNA (405 nucleotides) under uncultured bacterium. RNAcentral's name for it is "partial 16S ribosomal RNA". It matches the Rfam family "Bacterial small subunit ribosomal RNA", at positions 30 to 526 of the family's 1533-position model. The record is from RNAcentral.